This 527-nucleotide ribosomal RNA is filed under the name uncultured Candidatus Saccharibacteria bacterium. RNAcentral's name for it is "bacterial SSU rRNA". It matches the Rfam family "Bacterial small subunit ribosomal RNA", at positions 355 to 897 of the family's 1533-position model. Lineage: Bacteria; Candidatus Saccharimonadota. The record is from RNAcentral.
UAGGGAAUUUUUCACAAUGGGCGCAAGCCUGAUGGAGCAACGCCGCGUGCAGGAGGAAGGCCUUCGGGUUGUAAACUGCUUUUAUGAGUGACGAUUAUGACGGUAGCUCAUGAAUAAGGGUCUGCUAACUACGUGCCAGCAGCCGCGGUCAUACGUAGGACCCAAGCGUUAUCCGGAAUUACUGGGCGUAAAGAGUUGCGUAGGUGGCAAGGUAAGCGAUGCAUGAAAGCCCACGGCUCAACCGUGGGACUAUGUUUCGAACUGCCUAGCUUGAGUACGGGAGAGGUAGAUGGAAUUCCCAGUGUAGGAGUGAAAUCCGUAGAUAUUGGGAGGAACACCGAUGGCGUAGGCAGUCUACUGGCCCGUUACUGACACUAAGGCACGAAAGCGUGGGGAGCGAAUGGGAUUAGAUACCCCAGUAGUCCACGCUGUAAACGAUGGAUGCUAGCUGUUAUCAGUAUCGACCCUGGUAGUAGCGAAGCUAACGCGUUAAGCAUCCCGCCUGGGGAGUACGAGCGCAAGCUUAA